UUUUUUUUUAAUGUUGACACAGUGAUGUCCAAACGCAGCUUUUUCCAAAGAGCAGUACCACAGUAAGUGAAGACACCAGACCUGGAUCUGAUUCUGGGAACAGCUUGAAGACCUCUGCCUGAUGACCUGAGAGGCCUGAUGAUCAAUGAUCAAUGACACAGAUCAAUCUGAAUGGAGGGAACUUCUGCAAUCUCCGGUGUCUUCGUGGACUCCUCGUCUGACAAUUUCUUCUGUACUGAGGCCGCUGUGAGGUCUCACGCAGUCAGCAAGUAAAUUACUUUACUUGCUGACUGCGUGAGACAAUUUCGUAACCAACCUACAAGUUUAAUUUAAAAAGUAAGAGUGAAAACCCCCACACCUGCAGAAGUGACUCAAAUGUUAGUAAAGUAACUUGUAGUUUGACCAUGAAGUGACCAAAACAUUAUUACCACAGAAUCUGAAAUUCAAAAGGCAGCUGGUGAAGAACGGACUGUUUGUGUUCUCCUGGAAUUAUUUAGAUAAAGUCAGUCAAUAUA
Sander lucioperca (pikeperch) is the source of this 515-nucleotide long non-coding RNA. RefSeq lists it as uncharacterized. Lineage: Eukaryota; Metazoa; Chordata; Actinopteri; Perciformes; Percidae. The transcript is spliced from 2 exons. The record is from RefSeq and is a predicted model, not a curated record.